This 2204-nucleotide long non-coding RNA is filed under the name Olea europaea subsp. europaea. The record is from RNAcentral. Lineage: Eukaryota; Viridiplantae; Streptophyta; Magnoliopsida; Lamiales; Oleaceae.
AUUAUUGUUUUGGUCUUUCCUCACUACUGUACCCGUUUAUACUCAUCUGUCUUAUAAUGCCUAAAUUAGUCACCUAGGACGUUGGGUGAAUCACAAGAGUUUUCUUGUGGAGCAGAACACAGAUGGUUGAAGAAACUAUCUGGUAAACUGCUAGAUCGUUCGCAAACCCAAUGCUUUUAGAGGAUUAAGAAUGGGAAAUUUGGUGUUUAGAAACACAACCCUGACGUCAAUCGUCAAGUGGUUGUUGCAGUUUAUUGUGGAACCUAAAUCUUGGCACAAAAUGACUAAGAGCACUCAUUGUCUCAGCUGAAUGAAUGGGAUGCUAGAAUUGGAGUCAGGGUAAAACACAAUGGUCUUGGAAGUUCGGAGUGGUUUUCACCUUCGGUUCUGGGAAGAUUAGUAGCUAGGUUAUACAUCUGUUUUGUUGGCUAUGAAUUUAAAUAUCUUUUUUUCACUAUCAGUUUAUUAUAAUACUUAUUUAGUUUUAGUUUUACUUUUUGUGCAGGUACCAUUUCGAUGGAACCUCUCGAAAAUUCUUUGAGGGCUGGUACUUCAAGGUCUCAAUACCAAAAUGUAGGCAGAGUUUCUGCUUCAUGUAUUCUGCAGAGAACCCAGCUUUUCAAAAGAGAUUGAAUAGAUUAGAGAAUGCACAAUAUGGACCUCGGUUUACGGGAGUUGGAGCUCAAAUUCUGGGGGCUGAUGACAAAUAUAUUUGCCAAUACACUGAAGAAUCUCAGAACUUUUGGGGGAGUAUGUCUUCAUGUUAAUUCUUGUGCUUAUAUCUGGCUGGUAACAAUCGUUUAUAACUGUUGAUUAUUACCUUUUUAGGCUAAUUGGUAUGCCACGAUGUAGUCACUUAUUAUGGUUCGGUUUCUACUCUUUGAACAUCUUUACUAUUUUCCUGAUAGGUCUGUAUGUAUUUAAUGGUAGUGACAAUUGGACGUGUUGGAUUUAAAUUCUAGGUUGGGUAGAUACAGGGGUUCAAGGGAGCAAGUGCUCUUCCUCAUUUGUUGGGAAUAGGAAUUGGAUCGAUUGACAGGUACAAGAAUACAGCCAUAAGCUGGUUGCUGGUUAACUAAGAAUCCUAUCCAUUCUUUUAUGUUAAUUUUCUUUCAAUCGUGGACUAAUUAUUUCUAUUUGUUACAAGCUCUGAAUCAAAAAAUUUCUUUAUUUUAUUUUUUGCUUUAGAUGUCCUUUCUUUUUGUAACAUAUAGGGAGUCAAAUAUCAAAAAGACUCAGAGAGCUCCAUUUCAAAUUCUUCUUUACUAGGGAGAGAGAGAUAGACAGGAUCUCCUAUGGUUGCCCAUGCCAUGGUGCUUGUUUAUUGCCUACAAUGUGUUGGACUUGGACCAGGAGGGACCUGGCCGACCUUGUAUACAACCUGCCAACCCUUCAUGCUUUAAUUUUUCUUGUCCUCCUCCUGGCAAAAUGAUGUAUGCUUAAAUAUUAUGGACAUAGUGAAUAGAUGAUUUUCUCAUUUAGAGUUAUAAAGCCAUUUAAAUUGUUAAAGUUGCUUGAAGAUUCCUUGGGAGAAAGAUUGGAGACAGCAGGAGGCCGGAUUAUGGAUUCAGAUGAAGCUGAUGGAUAAGUGAAAGAAGGGAAAUUGGAAGAAAAUAAGGUACUGGAUGUUUUAAAUUUAUGCAUCUUUAGCUGCAAAUUGUAAUCUAAGCCUAAGGAGUCCUCAUAUACUCGUCAUUCUAGAUUCAUUGCGCCUUUCAAGUUCACUUGCAUUUCUUUUUUGACUACUCUUCUUUCAUGUUCAGAAAAGAUAAGUUGAUAGCGGAAAAGGAGGCUCCACAUAGAAAAAGUUGAAAGUGGACAAGGUUGUUGCUGCAACAGGAAAAGCUACUCAAUCAGAGAGCAACACUGCAACUGGAGCACCACGUGUAAAACCAGAGUUGACCUUGCCAAUAAUGUAUUUUCUGGACUACCUUGGCAAUUCUUUGGAGAUUUUUACUAAUUCUUUAGCUUACUAUUAGAUUACUAAAUAAAAAAGGACUUGCAAUUGUUGAGAGCAAUGAGGGUUGGGAUGAGCAGUACAUGACGCUAAAGCUUGGUACAAGGGCAUCUUAAAAUAUCAUUAAUUUCAAUAUGAAUUAGAUGAAGAGAAGUGGUUAUGUUAUUCAAUAGCAUGCUGGCAUAUUUCACAUUAUGUAUUCAAGUGUAUAGGAGAAUAUUGGCAUGUUUCACAUUAUGUAUUCAAG